CCGCAUAUCCAAGGCGAGGUGUGAUUCCUCGACCGGCGGUGUUCCAUGAGCGAUAGCUCAUCGGUAAGCCCGCAACUCCCGUCAAAUCUUUUAUCAGGCGGGACUGACACGGUGAGAUCCCGUGGCCGACGGUAAAGUCCGGAUGGAAGGAGUUGUUU
Molecule: non-coding RNA, 158 nt
Filed under: Oscillospiraceae bacterium
Lineage: Bacteria; Bacillati; Bacillota; Clostridia; Eubacteriales; Oscillospiraceae
Description: Ruminococcaceae bacterium FMN sequence
Rfam family: FMN riboswitch aptamer (RFN element)
About the family: The RFN element is a highly conserved domain that is found frequently in the 5'-untranslated regions of prokaryotic mRNAs that encode for flavin mononucleotide (FMN) biosynthesis and transport proteins. This element is a metabolite-dependent riboswitch that directly binds FMN in the absence of proteins.
Source: RNAcentral